Molecule: ribosomal RNA, 274 nt
Filed under: uncultured bacterium
Lineage: Bacteria
Description: partial 16S ribosomal RNA
Rfam family: Bacterial small subunit ribosomal RNA
Source: RNAcentral
AUACGGAGGGUCCGAGCGUUAUCCGGAAUCAUUGGGUUUAAAGGGUCCGUAGGCGGGAAUCUAAGUCAGUGGUGAAAUCUUGCAGCUCAACUGUAAAAUUGCCAUUGAUACUGGAUUUCUUGAAUUAGUGUGAAGUGAUUAGAAUGUGUAGUGUAGCGGUGAAAUGCAUAGAUAUUACACAGAAUACCAAUUGCGAAGGCAGAUCACUAACACUAUAUUGACGCUGAGGGACGAAAGCGUGGGGAGCGAACAGGAUUAGAAACCCUAGUAGUCC